RNAcentral lists this ribosomal RNA (539 nucleotides) under Pseudomonas cedrina. RNAcentral describes it as "bacterial SSU rRNA". It matches the Rfam family "Bacterial small subunit ribosomal RNA", at positions 8 to 549 of the family's 1533-position model. The record is from RNAcentral. Lineage: Bacteria; Pseudomonadati; Pseudomonadota; Gammaproteobacteria; Pseudomonadales; Pseudomonadaceae.
AGAGUUUUAUCCUGGCUCAGAUUGAACGCUGGCGGCAGGCCUAACACAUGCAAGUCGAGCGGUAGAGAGAAGCUUGCUUCUCUUGAGAGCGGCGGACGGGUGAGUAAUGCCUAGGAAUCUGCCUGGUAGUGGGGGAUAACGUUCGGAAACGGACGCUAAUACCGCAUACGUCCUACGGGAGAAAGCAGGGGACCUUCGGGCCUUGCGCUAUCAGAUGAGCCUAGGUCGGAUUAGCUAGUUGGUGAGGUAAUGGCUCACCAAGGCGACGAUCCGUAACUGGUCUGAGAGGAUGAUCAGUCACACUGGAACUGAGACACGGUCCAGACUCCUACGGGAGGCAGCAGUGGGGAAUAUUGGACAAUGGGCGAAAGCCUGAUCCAGCCAUGCCGCGUGUGUGAAGAAGGUCUUCGGAUUGUAAAGCACUUUAAGUUGGGAGGAAGGGUUGUAGAUUAAUACUCUGCAAUUUUGACGUUACCGACAGAAUAAGCACCGGCUACCUCGGUCCCCAGCGCGGAAUACAAGGGUGCAGCGUAAUCGGA